GACGAACGCUGGCGGCGUGCUUAACACAUGCAAGUCGUACGGUAAGGCCCUUUCGGGGGUCCACGAGUGGCGAACGGGUGAGUAACACGUGAGUAACCUGCCAACAACUUUGGGAUAACGCUAGGAAACUGGUGCUAAUACUGGAUAUGUGCUCCUGCUGCAUGGUGGGGGUUGGAAAGCUCCGGCGGUUGUGGAUGGACUCGCGGCCUAUCAGCUUGUUGGUGGGGUAGUGGCCUACCAAGGCGGCGCCGGGGAGCCGGCCUGAGAGGGUGACCGGCCACAGUCGGACUGAGAUACGGCCCAGACUCCUACGGGAGGCAGCAGUGGGGAAGAGUGAUCAAGGGGCGCAAGCCUGAUGCAGCAACGCCGCGGGCGGGAUGACGGUCUUCGGGUUGGAAUCCGCUUGCAGCAGGGACGAAGCUUUUUGUGACGGUACCUGCAGAAGAAGCACCGGCUAACUACGUG
This 465-nucleotide ribosomal RNA is filed under the name uncultured bacterium. RNAcentral describes it as "partial 16S ribosomal RNA". It matches the Rfam family "Bacterial small subunit ribosomal RNA", at positions 28 to 507 of the family's 1533-position model. The record is from RNAcentral.